This 246-nucleotide ribosomal RNA is filed under the name uncultured bacterium. Its description in RNAcentral is "partial small subunit ribosomal RNA". It matches the Rfam family "Bacterial small subunit ribosomal RNA", at positions 26 to 285 of the family's 1533-position model. The record is from RNAcentral.
AGAAUCAACGCUGGCGGCGUGCCUAACACAUGCAAGUCGAACGAGAAAGUGGUAGCAAUACCAUGAGUAAAGUGGCGCACGGGUGAGUAACACGUGACUAACCUACCCUGGAGUGGGGGAUAACUGAGGGAAACCUUAGCUAAUACCGCAUAAUACCUACGGGUCAAAGGAGCAAUUCGCUUUAGGAGGGGUCGCGGCAGAUUAGCUAGUUGGCGGGGUAAUGGCCCACCAAGGCAGUGAUCUGUA